Molecule: ribosomal RNA, 414 nt
Filed under: uncultured microorganism
Description: bacterial SSU rRNA
Rfam family: Archaeal small subunit ribosomal RNA
Source: RNAcentral
CAGCCGCCGCGGUAAUACCGGCGGCCCGAGUGGCGGUCACUAUUAUUGGGCUUAAAGCGUCCGUAGCCGGGUUGGGAAGUCCUCCGGGAAAUCUGGCCGCUUAACGGUCAGAAUGCCGGAGGAUACUUCCAGCCUAGGGAGCGGGAGAGGCCGAGGGUAUUCCCGGGGUGGGGGUGAAAUCCUAUAAUCCCGGGAGGACCACCUGUGGCGAAGGCGCUCGGCUGGAACGCGUCCGACGGUGAGGGACGAAGGCCAGGGGAGCAAACCGGAUUAGAUACCCGGGUAGUCCUGGCUGUAAACGAUGCGGACUUUGUGUCGGACAAGCUAUGAGCUUGUCCGGUGCCGGAGGGAAACCGUUAAGUCCGCCGCCUGGGGAGUACGGCCGCAAGGCUGAAACUUAAAGGAAUUGGCGGG